This 465-nucleotide ribosomal RNA is filed under the name uncultured bacterium. Its description in RNAcentral is "bacterial SSU rRNA". It matches the Rfam family "Bacterial small subunit ribosomal RNA", at positions 340 to 797 of the family's 1533-position model. The record is from RNAcentral.
UACGGGAGGCAGCAGUGGGGAAUAUUGCACAAUGGGCGCAAGCCUGAUGCAGCCAUGCCGCGUGUAUGAAGAAGGCCUUCGGGUUGUAAAGUACUUUCAGUCGUGAGGAAGGUGUUAAGGUUAAUAACCUUAGCAAUUGACGUUAGCGACAGAAGAAGCACCGGCUAACUCCGUGCCAGCAGCCGCGGUAAUACGGAGGGUGCGAGCGUUAAUCGGAAUUACUGGGCGUAAAGGGCACGCAGGCGGUUAAUUAAGUUGGAUGUGAAAUCCCCGGGCUUAACCUGGGAAUGGCAUUCAAGACUGGUUAGCUAGAGUCUUGUAGAGGGGGUAGAAUUCCAUGUGUAGCGGUGAAAUGCGUAGAGAUGUGGAGGAAUACCGGUGGCGAAGGCGGCCCCUGGGACAAAGACUGACGCUCAUGUGCGAAAGCGUGGGGAGCAAACGAGGAUUAGAUACCCUAGGAACUGG